RNAcentral lists this long non-coding RNA (619 nucleotides) under Monodelphis domestica (gray short-tailed opossum). RNAcentral's name for it is "lncRNA (ENSMODG00000037664.1)". The record is from RNAcentral. Lineage: Eukaryota; Metazoa; Chordata; Mammalia; Didelphimorphia; Didelphidae.
GUGAGCCUCCUUCCCUGGCAGCUCCCACUAAACUGGCAGAAAAUAGCAAUGAGUUGAAGAAAGAAGCCAUUAAACGAAUGUCACAAGGAGCUGAAGAUCUGACACAUAUUAACAACAUUAAGAGCUGGCAAUAUGGUGGCAACCACAAAUUUCAUGCCACUUGGGCCAGAAGUAAAAUGCUACUUGGGUCCAUUUCCUGACUCACCAUGUGAACUAAGACAGUUUUGCUUUCUCUGCCAUCAUAUUGGUUCUUUAUACCACCAUGGACUCUGUCUGAUCUACUGAGGCAAGAGUUCAACCAACAUUGAUGAGAACAGUGACGCUGAGAGACACAUAGCCCAAAGACACACCGUUGGUAUCUGAAGCAAGAUUCAAACUCAGAUCUUCUCAACUCCAUGUUAUACACUUUAUCUGUCAUAUUACUUACCUUAGAGGUAACUGAGAAUUAAAUAGGACUUAGAACUAGAGCCACCGAGAGUUUAUUCAGAAGAGGAGUGGCAUGAUUAUAAUUAAGUUUUGGAAAAUCACCUUGGCAGCUCUAUGGAAGAUGGGCUUGCAAAGGAAAGAGAUUUAAGCCAGGGAGACCAAUGAAGAGGCUUCUGCAAAAGCUUGUGUAACC